RNAcentral lists this ribosomal RNA (565 nucleotides) under uncultured bacterium. RNAcentral describes it as "partial 16S ribosomal RNA". It matches the Rfam family "Bacterial small subunit ribosomal RNA", at positions 355 to 938 of the family's 1533-position model. The record is from RNAcentral.
UGGGGAAUAUUGCACAAUGGGCGAAAGCCUGAUGCAGCAACGCCGCGUGAGUGAUGAAGGCCUUCGGGUUGUAAAGCUCUGUCUUUUGGGACGAUAAUGACGGUACCAAAGGAGGAAGCCACGGCUAACUACGUGCCAGCAGCCGCGGUAAUACGUAGGUGGCAAGCGUUGUCCGGAUUUACUGGGCGUAAAGGAUGCGUAGGCGGAUUUUUAAGUGAGAUGUGAAAACCCUAAGCUUAACUUGGGGACUGCAUUUCAUACUGGAAAUCUAGAGUGCGGGAGAGGAGAAUGGAAUUCCUAGUGUAGCGGUGAAAUGCGUAGAGAUUAGGAAGAACACCAGUGGCGAAGGCGAUUCUCUGGACCGUAACUGACGCUGAGGCAUGAAAGCGUGGGUAGCAAACAGGAUUAGAUACCCUGGUAGUCCACGCCGUAAACGAUGAGUACUAGGUGUAGGAGGUAUCGACCCCUUCUGUGCCGCAGUUAACACAAUAAGUACUCCGCCUGGGAAGUACGAUCGCAAGAUUAAAAACUUAAAUGAAAUUGACGGGGGUCAUAGCUGUUUCCU